UCAGAUUGAACGCUGGCGGCAGGCCUAACACAUGCAAGUCGAACGGUAACAGGAAACAGCUUGCUGUUUCGCUGACGAGUGGCGGACGGGUGAGUAAUGUCUGGGAAACUGCCUGAUGGAGGGGGAUAACUACUGGAAACGGUAGCUAAUACCGCAUAACGUCGCAAGACCAAAGAGGGGGACCUUAGGGCCUCUUGCCAUCGGAUGUGCCCAGAUGGGAUUAGCUAGUAGGUGGGGUAAAGACUCACCUAGGCGACGAUCCCUAGCUGGUCUGAGAGGAUGACCAGCCACACUGGAACUGAGACACGGUCCAGACUCCUACGGGAGGCAGCAGUGGGGAAUAUUGCACAAUGGGCGCAAGCCUGAUGCAGCCAUGCCGCGUGUAUGAAGAAGGCCUUCGGGUUGUAAAGUACUUUCAGCGGGGAGGAAGGGAGUAAAGUUAAUACCUUUGCUCAUUGACGUUACCCGCAGAAGAAGCACCGGCUAACUCCGUGCCAGCAGCCGCGGUAAUACGGAGGGUGCAAGCGUUAAUCGGAAUUACUGGGCGUAAAGCGCACGCAGGCGGUUUGUUAAGUCAGAUGUGAAAUCCCCGGGCUCAACCUGGGAACUGCAUCUGAUACUGGCAAGCUUGAGUCUCGUAGAGGGGGGUAGAAUUCCAGGUGUAGCGGUGAAAUGCGUAGAGAUCUGGAGGAAUACCGGUGGCGAAGGCGGCCCCCUGGACGAAGACUGACGCUCAGGUGCGAAAGCGUGGGGAGCAAACAGGAUUAGAUACCCUGGUAGUCCACGCCGUAAACGAUGUCGACUUGGAGGUUGUGCCCUUGAGGCGUGGCUUCCGGAGCUAACGCGUUAAGUCGACCGCCUGGGGAGUACGGCCGCAAGGUUAAAACUCAAAUGAAUUGACGGGGGCCCGCACAAGCGGUGGAGCAUGUGGUUUAAUUCGAUGCAACGCGAAGAACCUUACCUGGUCUUGACAUCCACGGAAGUUUUCAGAGAUGAGAAUGUGCCUUCGGGAACCGUGAGACAGGUGCUGCAUGGCUGUCGUCAGCUCGUGUUGUGAAAUGUUGGGUUAAGUCCCGCAACGAGCGCAACCCUUAUCCUUUGUUGCCAGCGGUCCGGCCGGGAACUCAAAGGAGACUGCCAGUGAUAAACUGGAGGAAGGUGGGGAUGACGUCAAGUCAUCAUGGCCCUUACGACCAGGGCUACACACGUGCUACAAUGGCGCAUACAAAGAGAAGCGACCUCGCGAGAGCAAGCGGACCUCAUAAAGUGCGUCGUAGUCCGGAUUGGAGUCUGCAACUCGACUCCAUGAAGUCGGAAUCGCUAGUAAUCGUGGAUCAGAAUGCCACGGUGAAUACGUUCCCGGGCCUUGUACACACCGCCCGUCACACCAUGGGAGUGGGUUGCAAAAGAAGUAGGUAGCUUAACCUUCGGGAGGGCGCUUACCACUUUGUGAUUCAAGACUG
RNAcentral lists this ribosomal RNA (1463 nucleotides) under uncultured organism. Its description in RNAcentral is "SSU rRNA". It matches the Rfam family "Bacterial small subunit ribosomal RNA". The record is from RNAcentral.